RNAcentral lists this ribosomal RNA (400 nucleotides) under Anaplasma sp. MY-2006. Its description in RNAcentral is "bacterial SSU rRNA". It matches the Rfam family "Bacterial small subunit ribosomal RNA", at positions 69 to 503 of the family's 1533-position model. Lineage: Bacteria; Pseudomonadati; Pseudomonadota; Alphaproteobacteria; Rickettsiales; Anaplasmataceae. The record is from RNAcentral.
CUUUAUAGCUUGCUACGGAGAUGAUUAGUGGCAGACGGGUGAGUAAUGCAUAGGAAUCUGCCUAGUAGUAAGGGAUAGCCACUAGAAAUGGUGGGUAAUACUGUAUAAGCCCUGCGGGGGAAAGAUUUAUCGCUACUAGAUGAGCCUAUGUUAGAUUAGCUAGUUGGUAGGGUAAAGGCCUACCAAGGCAGUGAUCUAUAGCUGGUCUGAGAGGAUGAUCAGCCACACUGGAACUGAGAUACGGUCCAGACUCCUACGGGAGGCAGCAGUGGGGAAUAUUGGACAAUGGGCGCAAGCCUGAUCCAGCUAUGCCGCGUGAGUGAGGAAGGCCUUAGGGUUGUAAAACUCUUUCAGUGGGGAAGAUAAUGACGGUACCCACAGAAGAAGUCCCGGCAAACUC